RNAcentral lists this ribosomal RNA (404 nucleotides) under Brucella melitensis. Its description in RNAcentral is "partial 16S ribosomal RNA". It matches the Rfam family "Bacterial small subunit ribosomal RNA", at positions 355 to 776 of the family's 1533-position model. RNAcentral also lists the same sequence under 3 other names. Lineage: Bacteria; Pseudomonadati; Pseudomonadota; Alphaproteobacteria; Hyphomicrobiales; Brucellaceae. The record is from RNAcentral.
UGGGGAAUAUUGGACAAUGGGCGCAAGCCUGAUCCAGCCAUGCCGCGUGAGUGAUGAAGGCCCUAGGGUUGUAAAGCUCUUUCACCGGUGAAGAUAAUGACGGUAACCGGAGGAGAAGCCCCGGCUAACUUCGUGCCAGCAGCCGCGGUAAUACGAAGGGGGCUAGCGUUGUUCGGAUUUACUGGGCGUAAAGCGCACGUAGGCGGACUUUUAAGUCAGGGGUGAAAUCCCGGGGCUCAACCCCGGAACUGCCUUUGAUACUGGAAGUCUUGAGUAUGGUAGAGGUGAGUGGAAUUCCGAGUGUAGAGGUGAAAUUCGUAGAUAUUCGGAGGAACACCAGUGGCGAAGGCGGCUCACUGGACCAUUACUGACGCUGAGGUGCGAAAGCGUGGGGAGCAAACAGG